GAUGAACGCUGGCGGCGUGCUUAACACAUGCAAGUCGAACGGAAAGGCCGAAGCUUGCUUCGGUACUCGAGUGGCGAACGGGUGAGUAACACGUGGGUGAUCUGCCCUGUACUUCGGGAUAGGCUUGGGAAACUGGGUCUAAUACCGGAUAUGACGAUCUCUUGGAUGGGGUUGUGGAAAGCUUUUGCGGUAUGGGAUGAGCUCGCGGCCUAUCAGCUUGUUGGUGGGGUAAUGGCCUACCAAGGCGUCGACGGGUAGCCGGCCUGAGAGGGUGUACGGCCACAUUGGGCCUGAGAUACGGCCCAGACUCCUACGGGAGGCAGCAGUGGGGAAUAUUGCACAAUGGGCGCAAGCCUGAUGCAGCGACGCCGCGUGGGGGAUGACGGCCUUCGGGUUGUAAACUCCUUUCGCAAUCGACGAAGCCUUUUGGUGACGGUAGGUUGAGAAGAAGCACCGGCUAACUACGUG
This 468-nucleotide ribosomal RNA is filed under the name uncultured bacterium. RNAcentral describes it as "partial 16S ribosomal RNA". It matches the Rfam family "Bacterial small subunit ribosomal RNA", at positions 28 to 507 of the family's 1533-position model. The record is from RNAcentral.